UCAGUCCGGUUUGUCUUCGAUUCCACGCAUAAAUUGUUCGCCUUUUACUAAAGAUUUCUGUAGAGAGGAACACUCUAAUGAGUCUAUAGACAUUUUUGCAGCCCUGCCAUCGCAGGAU
Small nuclear RNA from Lineus longissimus, 118 nucleotides. RefSeq annotates it as U5 spliceosomal RNA. Lineage: Eukaryota; Metazoa; Nemertea; Pilidiophora; Heteronemertea; Lineidae. The transcript has a single exon. The record is from RefSeq and is a predicted model, not a curated record.